Molecule: ribosomal RNA, 505 nt
Filed under: uncultured bacterium
Lineage: Bacteria
Description: partial 16S ribosomal RNA
Rfam family: Bacterial small subunit ribosomal RNA
Source: RNAcentral
GACGAACGCUGGCGGCGUGCCUAAUACAUGCCAGUCGAACGCACAGUUUAUACCGUAGCUUGCUACACCAUAAACUGUGAGUUGCGAACGGGUGAGUAACGCGUAGGUAACCUGCCUGGUAGCGGGGGAUAACUAUUGGAAACGAUAGCUAAUACCGCAUAAUAUUGAUUAUUGCAUGAUAAUUGAUUGAAAGAUGCUAUUGCAUCACUACCAGAUGGACCUGCGUUGUAUUAGCUAGUAGGUGAGGUAACGGCUCACCUAGGCGACGAUACAUAGCCGACCUGAGAGGGUGAUCGGCCACACUGGGACUGAGACACGGCCCAGACUCCUACGGGAGGCAGCAGUAGGGAAUCUUCGGCAAUGGACGAAAGUCUGACCGAGCAACGCCGCGUGAGUGAAGAAGGUUUUCGGAUCGUAAAGCUCUGUUGUAAGAGAAGAACGGGUGUGAGAGUGGAAAGUUCACACUGUGACGGUAUCUUACCAGAAAGGGACGGCUAACUACGUG